CUGGCGGUAUGCUUACACAUGCAAGUCGAACGGUCUUUUCGGAGAUAGUGGCGGACGGGUGAGUAACGCGUAAGAAUCUACCUUCAGGUUGGGGACAACCACUGGAAACGGUGGCUAAUACCGAAUGUGCCGAGAGGUGAAAGGCUUGCUGCCUGAAGAAGAGCUUGCGUCUGAUUAGCUAGUUGGUGGGGUAAGAGCCUACCAAGGCGACGAUCAGUAGCUGGUCUGAGAGGAUGAUCAGCCACACUGGGACUGAGACACGGCCCAGACUCCUACGGGAGGCAGCAGUGGGGAAUUUUCCGCAAUGGGCGAAAGCCUGACGGAGCAAUACCGCGUGAGGGAGGAAGGCUCUUGGGUUGUAAACCUCUUUUCUCAGGGAAGAAGAAAGUGACGGUACCUGAGGAAUAAGCAUCGGCUAACUCCGUGCCAGCAGCCGCGGUAAUACGGAGGAUGCAAGCGUUAUCCGGAAUGAUUGGGCGUAAAGGGUCCGCAGGUGGCAUUGUAAGUCUGCUGUUAAAGAGUUUGGCUCAACCAAAUAAAAGCAGUGGAAACUACAAAGCUAGAGUGUGGUCGGGGCAGAGGGAAUUCCUGGUGUAGCGGUGAAAUGCGUAGAUAUCAGGAAGAACAUCGGUGGCGAAGGCGCUCUGCUAGGCCAAGACUGACACUGAGGGACGAAAGCUAGGGGAGCGAAUGGGAUUAGAUACCCCAGUAGUCCUAGCCGUAAACGAUGGAUACUAGGCGUAGCUCGUAUCGACCCGAGCUGUGCCGUAGCUAACGCGUUAAGUAUCCCGC
This 792-nucleotide ribosomal RNA is filed under the name uncultured cyanobacterium. RNAcentral describes it as "bacterial SSU rRNA". It matches the Rfam family "Bacterial small subunit ribosomal RNA", at positions 36 to 872 of the family's 1533-position model. The record is from RNAcentral. Lineage: Bacteria; Bacillati; Cyanobacteriota.